AGAGUUUGAUCCUGGCUCAGGACGAACGCUGGCGGCGUGCUUAACACAUGCAAGUCGAACGAUGACGGUGGUGCUUGCACUACCUGAUUAGUGGCGAACGGGCGAGUAACACGUGAGUAACCUGCCCCUCACUUCGGGAUAACCUCGGGAAAUCGUGGCUAAUACCGGAUAUGAACUUCUACCGCAUGGUGGUUGUUGGAAAGAUUUAUCGGUGGGGGAUGGACUCGCGGCCUAUCAGCUUGUUGGUGAGGUAAUGGCUCACCAAGGCGAUGACGGGUAGCCGGCCUGAGAGGGCGACCGGCCACACUGGGACUGAGACACGGCCCAGACUCCUACGGGAGGCAGCAGUGGGGAAUAUUGCGCAAUGGGCGAAAGCCUGAUGCAGCGACGCCGCGUGGGGGAUGACGGCCUUCGGGUUGUAAACCCCUUUCAGUAGGGAAGAAGCGAAAGUGACGGUACCUGCAGAAGAAGCGCCGGCUAACUACGUGCCAGCAGCCGCGGUAAUACGUAGGGCGCAAGCGUUGUCCGGAAUUAUUGGGCGUAAAGAGCUCGUAGGUGGCUUGUCGCGUCUGCCGUGAAAACCCGAGGCUCAACCUCGGGCGUGCGGUGGGUACGGGCAGGCUAGAGUGUGGUAGGGGAGACUGGAACUCCUGGUGUAGCGGUGAAAUGCGCAGAUAUCAGGAAGAACACCGAUGGCGAAGGCAGGUCUCUGGGCCA
This 717-nucleotide ribosomal RNA is filed under the name uncultured Brachybacterium sp. RNAcentral describes it as "bacterial SSU rRNA". It matches the Rfam family "Bacterial small subunit ribosomal RNA", at positions 8 to 736 of the family's 1533-position model. The record is from RNAcentral. Lineage: Bacteria; Bacillati; Actinomycetota; Actinomycetes; Micrococcales; Dermabacteraceae.